UAGGAAAUGAGACAAAACAGUCUACGUGAG
RNAcentral lists this non-coding RNA (30 nucleotides) under Rattus norvegicus (Norway rat). Lineage: Eukaryota; Metazoa; Chordata; Mammalia; Rodentia; Muridae. The record is from RNAcentral.